Molecule: ribosomal RNA, 253 nt
Filed under: uncultured bacterium
Lineage: Bacteria
Description: partial 16S ribosomal RNA
Rfam family: Bacterial small subunit ribosomal RNA
Source: RNAcentral
GACGGAGGAUGCAAGCGGUAUCCGGAAUGAGUGGGCGUAAAGCGUUCGCAGGUGGCUGUUUAAGUCUGCUGUCAAAGACCGGGGCUUAACCCCAGAAAGGCAGUGGAAACUGAACGGCUGGAGUGCAGAUCGGAUAGAGGGAAUUCCCAGUGUAGCGGUGAAAUGCGUAGAGAUUGGGAAGAACAGCGGUGGCGAAAGCGCUCUGCUGGACUGCAACUGACACUGAGGGACGAAAGCUAGGGGAGCGAAAGGG